This 86-nucleotide transfer RNA is filed under the name Candidatus Rifleibacteriota bacterium. RNAcentral describes it as "tRNA-Leu". It matches the Rfam family "tRNA". From Rfam's summary of the family: Transfer RNA (tRNA) molecules are approximately 80 nucleotides in length. Their secondary structure includes four short double-helical elements and three loops (D, anti-codon, and T loops). Lineage: Bacteria; Candidatus Rifleibacteriota. The record is from RNAcentral.
GCCGAAGUGGCGGAAUUGGCAGACGCACCGGACUCAAAAUCCGGCGGUGGGCGACCACCGUGUCGGUUCGACCCCGACCUUCGGCA